This 240-nucleotide ribosomal RNA is filed under the name uncultured Lactobacillus sp. RNAcentral describes it as "partial 16S ribosomal RNA". It matches the Rfam family "Bacterial small subunit ribosomal RNA", at positions 122 to 355 of the family's 1533-position model. Lineage: Bacteria; Bacillati; Bacillota; Bacilli; Lactobacillales; Lactobacillaceae. The record is from RNAcentral.
UAACCUGCCCAAGAGAUCGGGAUAACACCUGGAAACAGAUGCUAAUACCGGAUAACAACAGAUGAUGCCUAUCAACUGUUUAAAAGAUGGUUCUGCUAUCACUCUUGGAUGGACCUGCGGUGCAUUAGCUAGUUUGUAGGGUAACGGCCUACCAAGGCGAUGAUGCAUAGCCGAGUUUAGAGACUGAUCGGCCACAUUGGGACUGAGACACGGCCCAAACUCCUACGGGAGGCAGCAGCC